AUAUGCUGUUUACCCAGCAGAAAAUGGGUACCCGGUGGGACCAGUCAUACGACUAUUAUCCUUCUGGCAUCUCACAGGCAGCUUGGGGUAUGUGGGGUAAUAAC
Haliotis rubra (blacklip abalone) is the source of this 104-nucleotide long non-coding RNA. RefSeq lists it as uncharacterized. The record is from RefSeq and is a predicted model, not a curated record. The transcript has 3 exons. NCBI's taxonomy places the organism in Eukaryota, Metazoa, Mollusca, Gastropoda, Lepetellida, Haliotidae.